CCUUCCCUCAUCACUUCCACUCGCCCACAAAACUCGGGACCAGGAGCCCACUCCUCUCUCUCUUCACUUCACUCUUUUCUGCUCAGCCUCCGCAACUUUCAAGCAUUUCUGAAAUGAGCAUCGUCAAAACUCAGGGGAACUGCGUCGCAAUCCGUACACUCAAUUCUCCACUUUCCAUCUCCCGAUGCCCUCACGGCUCUGCUUCCUCUUCAGGAAUUGUUUUCUCCUUCGUUGCGAGAGAAAAUAUAGUAGUAGGAGUUGAGAAGCUUUGAAAUUGGCGCAAACGAGGAGAAGUGUAGGGAAAGGACAGUAUCAGUGCAGGCAGGGGACGAUUAAAAUCCAUCAUUGUUCACAGUCUGUCUCCGUCGGUUGCCGUCCAUGCCUAUAGUGGUCCCAGAGUCUUACUUCACAUGAUAUACGGUCGUUGAUUGGGACUAAUGGUCCAACUGCGCCGCUGAUAUUAGGCGAACCACCCUAGUUUACCAAUGGUCGCCAUCUUUCUCCUAAGUUCUAACUACGACCAUAUGUCAUUUCCUUCAAUUUAAGCGUAAGAGAUUCAUGAAAAGGCAUGAGAAAUGCAAAAUUUCGGUGUAAACUUUGUUUAUGAUUGUUUUUAAAAUAUUUUUAAUGAA
This 632-nucleotide unclassified non-coding RNA is filed under the name Hevea brasiliensis (rubber tree). The record is from RNAcentral. Lineage: Eukaryota; Viridiplantae; Streptophyta; Magnoliopsida; Malpighiales; Euphorbiaceae.